CCGUACUAGAUGGGGCGUUAGCGGUGCCCUGUAACCUGCAAUCCGCUAUAGCAGGAUCGAUGCCGUGCUGAGGGUCUAUUCUUUUGGGGUCUGGCCCUGGUAAGUGGUGUUGACAGUUGGGUCUUACGCAAUGGAGCUUUGUGAACCCCGUCAGGUCCGGGAGGAAGCAGCGGUAAGCAAAUGUCUUCCAUGUGCCGUAAGGGUGCCUGGCUCGAGCUAACUGCCAGGGUAACGCCUGGGGGAGUAGAUUCGAUGUAGGUGUACGG
RNAcentral lists this signal recognition particle RNA (266 nucleotides) under Bacillota bacterium. Its description in RNAcentral is "signal recognition particle sRNA large type". It matches the Rfam family "Bacterial large signal recognition particle RNA". Rfam says of the family: The signal recognition particle (SRP) is a universally conserved ribonucleoprotein involved in the co-translational targeting of proteins to membranes. Archaeal SRP consists of a 7S RNA and homologues of the eukaryotic SRP19 and SRP54 proteins. In most bacteria, the SRP consists of a 4.5S RNA and the Ffh protein (a homologue of the eukaryotic SRP54 protein). Lineage: Bacteria; Bacillati; Bacillota. The record is from RNAcentral. RNAcentral also lists the same sequence under 2 other names.